Molecule: long non-coding RNA, 593 nt
Organism: Cornus florida
Lineage: Eukaryota; Viridiplantae; Streptophyta; Magnoliopsida; Cornales; Cornaceae
Exons: 3
Source: RefSeq, a predicted model, not a curated record
UUUCUCCUAACACAGUUUUCAUUUUUCAUUAAUACGACAGCGUUUCUACCCAAUCAACACGUCAAAACGCCCCCUUUGGCUUCUUCGCUGGCAUGGUCGAGAAAGGUGAAGAAAAUCGACAAUGAAGAGUUUUAUCCAUGCAAUGCCUAUUCUCAAAACUUCUUGAAGCUGGUUGCACAAUAAUCAUUUCUGGCCUUUUUUGUCACUUCUAUUUGCUUAGUCUCUCUCUAUCUUUUCUCGGAAUUGACAAUUAUAGAGUUCAUCAGAGGAUGAAAUAAUCGAAGUGAAAAAGGAAACUCGAAGAAGAUUCACUAAAGCCAACUGUGCUAUCACCAAAAAUUACAGCUGAUAUCCCACAAAUUAGGCAAUAUAGCUGCCUUGAGGUUUAAAUAGCCCCCAGAGGCAACGGUAGAGAUGUAAAAAGCAAGCGCUCAUGAUCAGUAAUGUAUGGUUAAAUAAAAGUUACUCCUAUUAUUUACUGGGGUGAAGUAUAAGAACAGAAUUUUGGGUAUAUUCCAACCAUGUGAACUUAUUUGAUUUUGAAUUGUUAACUUUCUGACGUAGAAGUUCGUUAGAAUAUCGUCAUUUAUUAA